Molecule: ribosomal RNA, 253 nt
Filed under: uncultured bacterium
Lineage: Bacteria
Description: partial 16S ribosomal RNA
Rfam family: Bacterial small subunit ribosomal RNA
Source: RNAcentral
UACGGGGGGGGCAAGCGUUGUUCGGAAUUACUGGGCGUAAAGGGCUCGUAGGCGGCCAACUAAGUCAGACGUGAAAUCCCCAGGCUCAACCUGGGAACUGCGUCUGAUACUGGAUGGCUUGAAUCCGGGAGAGGGAUGCAGAAUUCCAGGUGUAGCGGUGAAAUGCGUAGAUAUCGUAAGGAAGACCAGUGGCGAAGGCGGGUCUCUGGACAGUUCCUGACGCUGAGGCACGAAGGUCAGGGGAGCAAACGGG